Beta vulgaris subsp. vulgaris (sugar beet) is the source of this 3332-nucleotide long non-coding RNA. RefSeq lists it as uncharacterized. The transcript is spliced from 2 exons. Lineage: Eukaryota; Viridiplantae; Streptophyta; Magnoliopsida; Caryophyllales; Amaranthaceae. The record is from RefSeq and is a predicted model, not a curated record.
AAACAAGAAGUUGGAGAAUGCGUUUCUUGUUCGUAAUUAAGGAGGUCAAAUACGCAUUAUUCAAUCCCAAAUGAACACCCAUUCUUUGAAUGAUUCAAUUAAAUAAACUUUCAACUAACUCGAUGAUGCCAUUUGAAUCUUUUUCAGUGACCCAGGUGAGAAAUUCAUCAUUUCAGUUGAAUUAAAUUAGUGGGAUCCAAACAAAUCCUUAAAUCUUCUACUGUCAUCAUCAUAUGAGAAAAAGGACCUUACUCUCCUCAUCCUCUAUAUACAUCACUCGAAGUCGUCAUAUCUAUGAGACUUGAGUUGUCAGGUAUCAUCAUCAGUGUCACUUCCACUAGAUUUGUCUGACAAGAAAUGUUUUGGUAACCUUGGGAAUGUAACACGAGUCCUUAACACAUCAGGGGUUGGUGGCGAUGACGGAGAUGAUGAGGAUCCAGCACCAGCACCAGCUUUACUUGGUUUCUUCUGUUGCAAACUCCGAGCAAUAUCUAUGCAAGCUUGAUCGACCAUUGCCAGGAAAUCUUUUACUAUAACAAAGAGCUGAAGUGGCUGGCUGUCUUUGAAACCUCCUGCUUGGUAAUACUGUGCUGUUUUCUUUACAAAUUCCAUCACCCUUGUCUGUUCUUCUUGGACUACCUUUAUCUCUCCCUCUGCUGCUGCCAAGAACUCUUUCAUUUCUGUAACAAACGCUCUUCCACCGUCAUCGGCUCCACACUGCAGCACUAGUUGCCUAGUUUCAGCAAUACGAGCUUCCAUUGAUGUGCUGAUGCUUAAUAUGGUGUCAUAGUCAAGGGUGGCUGCUUUCUUGACACUGGAGAACUCAGCACUCAAGCCACCUACAACUGGUAGCCCUAGCUGUAAGAACUCCUUUUCUUGCUCCUCUUUUGACUUGGCUUCCUCUGGAUUUAGGUUUGAACUUGAGCUUGAGCUUGAGCUUGAGUUUCUCUGACUGUUGGUUCUGGUUAAGCUGUUGUUACGGUUCAUAACACACCGUCUCCCCUCAUUCCUGACAACCUCAUGAACCACAAAGUGAAGUAGAGUGGUCUUCCCAUCACUACUUUUGUAAUCGGAGAGCUUCCUUAAAGCCGUAAGGUUAAAAGCCUUUGCAUCCCCUCUUGCAGUCCCUGCAUUAAGUCGAUUUCCUGCUUUUAGUAUAGCUUCUAGAAGCUUCAAGAACACUCCACGAUUUCGGAGCUCAUUGGAGGCAGAGUCAAGUGUUUGGAGAGAUUCCUUCAGUUGAUUUAUUUCUGAGCCAUAACUGAAUUUGAAGAGCAUUGUGUUAGCCCUAGUAAAAGCUGAGGGAACAGCCUUGAGCAGGUGGUAAAGGAAGGAUUCUGCAUCAGCUAGCCUUCCAGCAUCUCCAUCAAAUGCUAGGAUUUGAAUUUUUUCUUCUCGUGUAGGGGUGAUUCUUGUCAGUUUCUCAAGUACUUCUAUAUUCAGGCCUUUUCCAUCUUGCAGCCCCUCAAUCAACUCGUUGCGAGUGAUGCCUAAAGAGCGAAUCACAAUGGCAAUAUUCUGGGAACGUCGUUCAUCCAAAAUGAAAACUUUGGCAGCUGGAUUAGGGAUGCCAUUACCUUGAGCUGCAGCAGAGUCUUCUUUUGGUGAUUUGCGGUUUACUGCAACAUAGCCAAAGAGUGCUUCCAUCAUAUCACCAUUGUAUCUGUUGCACCAAAAAAAAAAAACAUGCCAAUCAACUUCUACUCAAUUAAGACUGUAAGACUUUUCUUUAUAUCAAUUAUUGUAAUGAAAAAUUAAAUGCUGUACUUACUGGAAUGAACCGCGCUCGAUGUUGUCCCACACCAUGGAAUGACUAGUAUUAACGUUGACCUUUUCCCAGUGCAAUGGCUUCAGUUUGACCUGAUCAUUGGUGCUUCCUGAUGCAUCUUCCCCAAUAGCAGAUAGUUCUAUGAUGUUUCCACUUGGGGUCCGUUUUGGUCCUGGUGGUGGUUUUGAUGAUCCACCUCCCUUGAGUGGUGGAGGUGGCGGUGCUGGACCUUUUUUGGCUGCCAUUGGUGGUGGUGGUGGUGGUGGUGCAUUUUUCUUGGCUGCCAUUGGUGGUGGUGGUGGCGGUGGUGGUGCAGGUCCUGCCUUGGUAGGAAUAGGAGGCGGAAGAGGUGGUGUUGCUGGUGCUUGUGGUGGACUAAUUUGUUCCUUAGCAGUAGCCAAUUUCUCUGACCCUUGUGCAUUUCCAAUGGCCUGAAAACUGUUUUCAUUCUGAGGUGAUUUAUUAGGAUCAAGCAGCCUAGCUGUUUGUUCUUCCUUAGGAUGUAUUUGAUUCUGAGAAGACGACGAUUUCCCACGAGAAUACGUCUUCCUUCCAUUGCUUGUCUUACUAAAUGCAUCCUUAUGAAAAGGUCCGCUCUUCCUCUGGCUCCCUUCAAGCUUCCGCCAAUACAGCACGUCCAAACCAUCCUCAUCUACUAUUAACCCUUUAAUGUUCCCAUCAAACCUUGUAAACUCUGUCUGAGACAACGGCUGUAACCUUCCUCCACCACCACCACCACCACCACCGCCACCUCCGCCGCCAGCAGCAGCAACUGCCCCAACAGCAUGGACCCCUCCACCACUUUCUUUCUUCCGUUUGGUUGCAUACCUUGCACAAAGAAAGAAAAGUGCCGCGGCCACCACCAACGUACUAGCAGCUGUCACCCCCACUGCCGUGUAUAUCGCCUUAUGAGACGUCGAUGGUGGUGAUGACGCCUGUCUUGAUGAAGCAUCAGGUGGAGGUGGCAGCAGUGGCGUUGGUAACGUUGGCGAAGUUGGUGGAGAAAACACAGCUACAGGUACAGGUGCUGGUGCAGGUGCAGAUACAGGUACAGGUGCUGGUGCAGGUGCAGGUGAUGGUGAGAAAGGAAAAAAUGUUUCAAUAUUUUGAGGAGAAUUGGAUUGACAAAAUGAAAGAUUGAUAAAAGAAUUAACAAGGAACAAGAACAAUAUAGAGCUAAGAAACAAAUCUCCUUUCUUUGUUUGGAAUGUCAUCUCUCUCUUUGAUCUGUACAAAAAAAAUAAAGAUUUGGGAUUUGAGUGAAGAGAGAGAAACAAGUAAGAUGGGAAAAACUAAGUUUGUUGAUUAGUUCUCAAUUUUUUUUGGGGAUUGUUUUUGUUGGUUUUGUUGUAUUAAGAUGAUAUUUGAGCUGUUACCAUGUUGGUACUUUUUUCUGCCAUCUUUUGCAGACAUUGUCAAAGUAAGCAGGUUGCUGACUAUGAGAAAUUCUUGGGUGUCAUUUAAUUUUUUUUCCUUUUAAAAAAAAUUAUUAUUGUCCGGCUUUUCUUGUUAUGAAAUUACUUUCAAUCUUUGUCAUUAUAAUAAAAGUAUUGUGUUUGUGUCU